This 463-nucleotide ribosomal RNA is filed under the name uncultured bacterium. RNAcentral's name for it is "bacterial SSU rRNA". It matches the Rfam family "Bacterial small subunit ribosomal RNA", at positions 28 to 521 of the family's 1533-position model. The record is from RNAcentral.
GACGAACGCUGGCGGCGUGCUUAACACAUGCAAGUCGAACGCACCUUCGGGUGAGUGGCGGACGGGUGAGUAACGCGUAGGUAAUCUACUCUUCAGUGGGGGAUACCCAGCCGAAAGGUUGGUUAAUACCGCAUACGCUCCUGUGCAGAGAGGUACAGGAGGAAAGGUUUACUGCUGAGGAAUGAGCCUGCGUCCGAUUAGCUAGUUGGUGGGGUAAAGGCUCACCAAGGCGACGAUCGGUAGCUGGUCUGAGAGGACGAUCAACCACACUGGAACUGAGACACGGUCCAGACUCCUACGGGAGGCAGCAGUGGGGAAUUUUCCGCAAUGGGCGAAAGCCUGACGGAGCAACGCCGCGUGGGUGAUGAAGUUUUUCGGAACGUAAAACCCUUUCGCCAGGGACGAAGCGAGUGACGGUACCUGGAGAAGAAGCAUCGGCUAACUACGUGCCAGCAGCCGCGGU